CUCAACCACUUAUGUGUCAUCUUUUCGACCUUGCUUUUGUAGGAGCAAGUGAGAAAGAUUGAAAGGUAGCACCAGUGUAUUAAUUUGUUUUCAAUAGCCAUGUUGAUCCCCAUGUGGUGGUGCUUUUGUUGCUCCUUAUUACAGUAGUGGCCUCUGAAGGAUCAGAACCACUAUUUUUUAGCUGGUAGUCCUGUCUAACCUAAUUGAGAUAUAUAGAGGAUAUGUGAAAAUUGAGAUAGGGGAAAUAAAAAGGAAGGCCUAUCUGUGUUAAUCAAUAAACAUCAUAAUAUAGUCCACAAAUUGCAAUAGAGAAAUUGAUCUGAAAAUAAUCAUUUCAUAUUUCAGGAUAGCAUGUGAGUCCUCAAGUAUUCAUUCUGUUAGAUAAAGUUUUGCGAUUUUCUGUCUCAUGGUGGAGAUGUAGAAUUUAAAACCUUACAACCUAUUUUGAAAAAGAAUUGGUAGGGACUAAGUCAUUUUUAAAACCAGUAGUUGAUUUUGAACCUACACUCAAGUCUCUCUAGGAGUUUGGCGCAGGUAUUGAUUAAUUCUAUGGUUUGGACCAUCUCAGAAGUGCUACAUGUUGGUAGGUAUAUCAGAUAUUUCCUGUUGAUGUUGAUCUGGAGAGCAGUUGUGGCGGGUAUGUAUGGUAUGUUAACAUUCUUUCAACUAUCUUCGUAAAAAUAUAUUGUCUGACAACAAAGUUUACCAUUGCAAAAGAGAACAGGAUAUUUUCAGCUUUUACUGUCAUCCAUAAAGCUUCUCUCUUAUGUUUAUACUGCUACUGAUCUGAGAUUGCAGAUGUAUUCUUUGAGGGUCAAUGUUUAGUAUGUCAUGUUAAAACAUGCAAGAUUCAUCAACAAUCCGUUGUAGUCUAGUCGGUUAGGAUACUCGGUUCUCACCCGAGAGACCCGGGUUCAAUUCCCGGCAACGGAAUGAACAUAACAUGACAUACUAAACAUUGGGUCGGUUUUAUUUUUUUUGCUACAAGAAGUGUAAUAUUGUUGUAGAUAAACGGCAAGGAAGAGAUGAUCUUAUGAGUCCAAUGCCUGCAAAGAUGAAUACAGUUUAAUGCAGAUAAACGGCAAGGAAGAGAUGAUCUUAUGAGUCCGAUGCCUGCAAAGAUGAAUACAGUUUAAUGCAGUUAGAUGCACGAAUUAUCUCGCGUUUGUACCCUCCAUGUGGAGUAAUGUAAGCAGUUUAUUCUUCUGCAAACAUGAACAAUCUAACCGAUGCUUCAAGGUGCCCUUUCAUAGACUUAAAAAUAGAUUGCCAGGACCUCUGGUAUACUCUCCGAAGCUUUCGUUUUUUUUUUAUAUAUGUAAUUGGUAUAUUCUUUUUCUCGAGGGUUCGGAACAAUAAGUCUAACAUGUCAUUGUUUACAUGUAUAAUACUUCGAUAAAUUAAGCUCACUUUUGACUAUAAAUUUUGAGAUUGAAAAUUGAAUUCUUGAAGUUGUAUCUGGACAUGUG
Long non-coding RNA from Solanum tuberosum (potato), 1469 nucleotides. RefSeq lists it as uncharacterized. Lineage: Eukaryota; Viridiplantae; Streptophyta; Magnoliopsida; Solanales; Solanaceae. The transcript has 3 exons. The record is from RefSeq and is a predicted model, not a curated record.